UACGUAGGGUGCAAGCGUUAAUCGGAAUUACUGGGCGUAAAGGGUGCGCAGGCGGCCCCGCAUGUCAGGCGUGAAAUCCCCGGGCUCAACUUGGGAAUGGCGCUUGAAACUACGGGGCUGGAGUGUGGCAGAGGGAGGUGGAAUUCCACGUGUAGCGGUGAAAUGCGUAGAGAUGUGGAGGAACACCGAUGGCGAAGGCAGCCUCCUGGGCCAAUACUGACGCUCAUACGCGAAAGCGUCGGGAGCAAACAGG
This 253-nucleotide ribosomal RNA is filed under the name uncultured bacterium. RNAcentral describes it as "partial 16S ribosomal RNA". It matches the Rfam family "Bacterial small subunit ribosomal RNA", at positions 524 to 776 of the family's 1533-position model. The record is from RNAcentral.